Molecule: non-coding RNA, 468 nt
Organism: Phoenix dactylifera (date palm)
Lineage: Eukaryota; Viridiplantae; Streptophyta; Magnoliopsida; Arecales; Arecaceae
Source: RefSeq, a predicted model, not a curated record
GGGGGGGGGCAUUACACCAUUGUGCAGGCGUUCGUAACGCCUGAUGGUAGGCGGUUACAACCGUCCGCCUUCCCAGUGAUCGAGGCUACAAGAAGCCCCGAUCGGCUACCAUUUCACCACCCGUUCAUCCUCCUCCUCCACUGUUUGUCUCCCUCUCUCACAAUCCUCUCCGAUUGGCAGGACCCGGUGUUAGACCCACGCCGCCGGAGUAAAGGGCCGCAUCGCCGGAGUAGGAGGCGGACGACCACCUUCAGAUCAGGUGAUCAAGGAUUUGUCACCCGGACGUAAGAAAUUGGAAAGUAUAUUGCUAUGAUUAAGACCACUAGGAGCAGGGAGCUUGAUGUUAUUCAGGAUUGGGGUAAUUGAAAAUGUUAUGUAAUAAUCAGAUUUUAGAAGCUCUGUACUGUUCCAACUUUAUGAACAAUGUUAUGACAUUAGUAAAUGAAACUAUUUAUUUUUAUUAUGAAA